UACGAGAGGCCCAAACGUUAUUCGGAAUUACUGGGCUUAAAGAGUUCGUAGGCGGCGCAGAAAGUAGGGUGUGAAAGCCCUCGGCUCAACCGAGGAAUUGCGCUCUAAACUACUGUGCUUGAGGAAUCUAGAGGUGAGCGGAACUGAUGGUGGAGCGGUGAAAUGCGUUGAUAUCAUCAGGAACACCGGAGGCGAAGGCGGCUCACUGGGUCCUUUCUGACGCUGAGGGACGAAAGCUAGGGGAGCGAACAGG
Molecule: ribosomal RNA, 253 nt
Filed under: uncultured bacterium
Lineage: Bacteria
Description: partial 16S ribosomal RNA
Rfam family: Bacterial small subunit ribosomal RNA
Source: RNAcentral